This 253-nucleotide ribosomal RNA is filed under the name uncultured bacterium. Its description in RNAcentral is "partial 16S ribosomal RNA". It matches the Rfam family "Archaeal small subunit ribosomal RNA", at positions 474 to 727 of the family's 1478-position model. The record is from RNAcentral.
UACCAGCACCCCGAGUGGUCGGGACGUUUAUUGGGCCUAAAGCAUCCGUAGCCGGUUUUACAAGUCCUCCGUUAAAUCCAACUGCUUAACAGAUGGGCCGCGGAGGAUACUAUAAGACUAGGAGGCAGGAGAGGCAAGCGGUACUCAGUGGGUAGGGGUAAAAUCCGUUGAUCCAUUGAAGACCACCAGUGGUGAAGGCGGCUUGCCAGAAUGCGCUCGACGGUGAGGGAUGAAAGCUGGGGGAGCAAACCGG